GUGCACAAUGCACUUGGAGCAGAAACUGGGAUUCAUUGGCUCACCUGGGGGAUGCUGUACCUCUGUCCUUCUUGCUUCCCAUAUGGCUCAUUGACUGGCAUGAACUCACCAGCCAUUGUUUCUUGUGUAGAAGGUGUUUCAUUGGAAGGACCUUGUAGAGCAUGUCCCCAGGAGCUGCCUUCCUAGCAGACUGGAGACUGGGUGUCCUCCAGGAGGGUAGACAGAGAAGGGGAUGCAAAGAUGAGUGUUGGGAGUGCUAGUGUGACUGUUGUCAAGGUGAGACUAAAGGGAGUGUUUAUAUUCAUGCUAAUUAUUAGUUUUUUAUUACAACUUUGGAUUGUAUACUUGUAUAACCAAUUAUUCAUUUAGUCACAUUUUCUUUUCUUUUCAAAAACAAUUUUAUUAGAUAUUUUCUUCAUUUACAUUUCAAAUGCUAUCUUGAAAGUCCCCUAUAACUCCACCCCCAUGCCCUGCUCGCCAACCCACCCACUCCUGUUUCCUGGCCCUGGCAUUCCCCUGUACUGGGGCAUAUAAUUUUUGCAAGACCAAGGGCCUCUCCCAAUGAUGGCCAACUAGGCCAUCUUCUGCUACAUAUGCAGCUAGAAAUACGAGCUCUGGGGGGGGGGUACUAGUUAGUUCAUAUUAUUGUUCCUCCUAUAGGGUUGCAGACCCCUUCAGCUCCUUGGGUACUUUCUCUAGCUUAUAUUUUAUUUUUAAUAGAGUAAAAUUGUAGAUGGUUAAAAGUCCAGGAGUUGCAAAAUAUUUGCAAUAAAAACAAAGGCUAUAUACCUCA
This 793-nucleotide long non-coding RNA is filed under the name Mus spicilegus (steppe mouse). RNAcentral describes it as "lncRNA (ENSMSIG00000005141.1)". The record is from RNAcentral. Lineage: Eukaryota; Metazoa; Chordata; Mammalia; Rodentia; Muridae.